CAUCCCGACUUACCAACCCGAUGCAAACUGCGAAUACCGGAGAAUGUUAUCACGGGAGACACACGGCGGGUGCUAACGUCCGUCGUGAAGAGGGAAACAACCCAGACCGCCAGCUAAGGUCCCAAAGUCAUGGUUAAGUGGGAAACGAUGUGGGAAGGCCCAGACAGCCAGGAUGUUGGCUUAGAAGCAGCCAUCAUUUAAAGAAAGCGUAAUAGCUCACUGGUCGAGUCGGCCUGCGCGGAAGAUGUAACGGGGCUAAACCAUGCACCGAAGCUGCGGCAGCGACACUAUGUGUUGUUGGGUAGGGGAGCGUUCUGUAAGCCUGCGAAGGUGUCUCGUGAGGGAUGCUGGAGGUAUCAGAAGUGCGAAUGCUGACAUAAGUAACGAUAAUGCGGGUGAAAAACCCGCACGCCGGAAGACCAAGGGUUCCUGUCCAACGUUAAUCGGGGCAGGGUGAGUCGACCCCUAAGGCGAGGCCGAAAGGCGUAGUCGAUGGGAAACAGGUUAAUAUUCCUGUACUUGGUGUUACUGCGAAGGGGGGACGGAGAAGGCUAUGUUAGCCGGGCGACGGUUGUCCCGGUUUAAGCAUGUAGGCGGAGGUUCCAGGUAAAUCCGGUACCUUAUUAACGCUGAGGUGUGAUGACGAGGCACUACGGUGCUGAAGUAACAAAUGCCCUGCUUCCAGGAAAAGCCUCUAAGCAUCAGGUAACAUCAAAUCGUACCCCAAACCGACACAGGUGGUCAGGUAGAGAAUACCAAGGCGCUUGAGAGAACUCGGGUGAAGGAACUAGGCAAAAUGGUGCCGUAACUUCGGGAGAAGGCACGCUGAUAUGUAGGUGAAGUGGUUUACCCAUGGAGCUGAA
This 863-nucleotide ribosomal RNA is filed under the name Salmonella enterica subsp. enterica serovar Goldcoast. Its description in RNAcentral is "partial 23S ribosomal RNA". It matches the Rfam family "Bacterial large subunit ribosomal RNA", at positions 928 to 1781 of the family's 2925-position model. The record is from RNAcentral. Lineage: Bacteria; Pseudomonadati; Pseudomonadota; Gammaproteobacteria; Enterobacterales; Enterobacteriaceae.